RNAcentral lists this ribosomal RNA (91 nucleotides) under Escherichia coli. RNAcentral's name for it is "partial 16S ribosomal RNA". It matches the Rfam family "Bacterial small subunit ribosomal RNA", at positions 1 to 87 of the family's 1533-position model. The record is from RNAcentral. Lineage: Bacteria; Pseudomonadati; Pseudomonadota; Gammaproteobacteria; Enterobacterales; Enterobacteriaceae.
AAAUUGAAGAGUUUGAUCAUGGCUCAGAUUGAAUGCUGGCGGCAGGCCUAACACAUGCAAGUCGAACGGUAACAGGAAACAGCUUGCUGUU